RNAcentral lists this ribosomal RNA (497 nucleotides) under uncultured bacterium. RNAcentral's name for it is "partial 16S ribosomal RNA". It matches the Rfam family "Bacterial small subunit ribosomal RNA", at positions 28 to 507 of the family's 1533-position model. The record is from RNAcentral.
GACGAACGCUGGCGGCGUGCCUAAUACAUGCAAGUUGAGCGCUGAAGGUUGGUACUUGUACCAACUGGAUGAGCAGCGAACGGGUGAGUAACGCGUGGGGAAUCUGCCUUUGAGCGGGGGACAACAUUUGGAAACGAAUGCUAAUACCGCAUAAAAACUUUAAACACAAGUUUUAUGUUUGAAAGAUGCAAUUGCAUCACUCAAAGAUGAUCCCGCGUUGUAUUAGCUAGUUGGUGAGGUAAAGGCUCACCAAGGCGAUGAUACAUAGCCGACCUGAGAGGGUGAUCGGCCACAUUGGGACUGAGACACGGCCCAAACUCCUACGGGAGGCAGCAGUAGGGAAUCUUCGGCAAUGGACGAAAGUCUGACCGAGCAACGCCGCGUGAGUGAAGAAGGUUUUCGGAUCGUAAAACUCUGUUGGUAGAGAAGAACGUUGGUGAGAGUGGAAAGCUCAUCAAGUGACGGUAACUACCCAGAAAGGGACGGCUAACUACGUG